UCAGCCGCCGCGGUAAUACCAGCUCCUCGAGUGGUUAGGGCGUUUAUUGGGCCUAAAGCAUCCGUAGCCGGCUAAGUAGGUCUUCUGUUAAAUCCAACGGCUCAACUGUUGGUCUGCAGGGGAUACCGCUUGGCUAGGAGGCGGGAGAGGCGGACGGUACUCCGAGGGUAGGGGUAAAAUCCUUUGAUCCCCGGAAGACCACCAGUGGCGAAGGCGGUCCGCCAGAACGCGCUCGACGGUGAGGGAUGAAAGCUGGGGGAGCGAACCGGAUUAGAUACCCGGGUAGUCCCAGCCGUAAACGAUGCGAGCUAGGUGACACAAGGCCUUAUGGGCAUUGUGGUGCCGCAGGGAAGCCGUUAAGCUCGCCGCCUGGGGAGUACGGUCGC
Molecule: ribosomal RNA, 386 nt
Filed under: uncultured archaeon
Lineage: Archaea
Description: bacterial SSU rRNA
Rfam family: Archaeal small subunit ribosomal RNA
Source: RNAcentral